GAUGAACGCUGGCGGCGUGCCUAAUACAUGCAAGUCGAGCGAACGGACGAGAAGCUUGCUUCUCUGAUGUUAGCGGCGGACGGGUGAGUAACACGUGGAUAACCUACCUAUAAGACUGGGAUAACUUCGGGAAACCGGAGCUAAUACCGGAUAAUAUUUUGAACCGCAUGGUUCAAAAGUGGAAGACGGUCUUGCUGUCACUUAUAGAUGGAUCCGCGCUGCAUUAGCUAGUUGGUAAGGUAACGGCUUACCAAGGCAACGAUGCAUAGCCGACCUGAGAGGGUGAUCGGCCACACUGGAACUUAGACACGGUCCAGACUCCUACGGGAGGCAGCAGUAGGGAAUCUUCCGCAAUGGGCGAAAGCCUGACGGAGCAACGCCGCGUGAGUGAUGAAGGUCUUCGGAUCGUAAAACUCUGUUAUUAGGGAAGAACAUAUGUGUAAGUAACUGUGCACAUCUUGACGGUACCUAAUCAGAAAGCCACGGCUAACUACGUG
RNAcentral lists this ribosomal RNA (497 nucleotides) under uncultured bacterium. Its description in RNAcentral is "partial 16S ribosomal RNA". It matches the Rfam family "Bacterial small subunit ribosomal RNA", at positions 28 to 507 of the family's 1533-position model. The record is from RNAcentral.